GUGAGAUUUGUAACAUAUUAUACCAAAAACGUUAUCUUAGCCUUGGAUCUAAUAUAGAAAUGGCAGCUUCAUCUAUGUUUGUAAACGUCCAGAAAAUAUAACGCCGGCGGCGAUGGUGGGCUGCUGAUGUUUUUCCGGUGAGUCGAGUGACUGGCGGAGGCGGCUGGUUUGUGUAUAGGUGAUGGGUCUGGAGAAGAUGGCUGGCUUCUCUCUUGUUAAUGGCUGCUGAAGAAGAUGAAGGACAUGGGAGGGGUCCGUGUAUUAUGGUCAACAACGGCGGAUGUCUCUUAUCUUCUUUUUUUGCGUAUUUUUUUUUUAAGCAUUACUUUAUAUAUAGAGUCUAGGUUUAGGUGUAUUUUUGUGUAUUUUGUCAAUUAGUCCCUAGGUCUUUUGUGUUAAGUCCUUAGAGUCUUUUUUAUUUGUUUUUAUUCCAAAGAAGAGUCUAGAAGGGUCCUUAGGCUUAAUAGACUAAUCUGAAUUGGGCCAAGAAUUGGGCUCUAAAACUCUUAAAAUUGUGAUC
Long non-coding RNA from Nicotiana tabacum (common tobacco), 520 nucleotides. RefSeq lists it as uncharacterized. The record is from RefSeq and is a predicted model, not a curated record. NCBI's taxonomy places the organism in Eukaryota, Viridiplantae, Streptophyta, Magnoliopsida, Solanales, Solanaceae.